GACGAACGCUGGCGGCGUGCCUAAUACAUGCAAGUUGAGCGCUGAAGGUUGGUACUUGUACCGACUGGAUGAGCAGCGAACGGGUGAGUAACGCGUGGGGAAUCUGCCUUUGAGCGGGGGACAACAUUUGGAAACGAAUGCUAAUACCGCAUAAAAACUUUAAACACAAGUUUUAAGUUUGAAAGAUGCAAUUGCAUCACUCAAAGAUGAUCCCGCGUUGUAUUAGCUAGUUGGUGAGGUAAAGGCUCACCAAGGCGAUGAUACAUAGCCGACCUGAGAGGGUGAUCGGCCACAUUGGGACUGAGACACAGCCCAAACUCCUACGGGAGGCAGCAGUAGGGAAUCUUCGGCAAUGGACGAAAGUCUGACCGAGCAACGCCGCGUGAGUGAAGAAGGUUUUCGGAUCGUAAAACUCUGUUGGUAGAGAAGAACGUUGGUGAGAGUGGAAAGCUCAUCAAGUGACGGUAACUACCCAGAAAGGGACGGCUAACUACGUG
This 497-nucleotide ribosomal RNA is filed under the name uncultured bacterium. RNAcentral describes it as "partial 16S ribosomal RNA". It matches the Rfam family "Bacterial small subunit ribosomal RNA", at positions 28 to 507 of the family's 1533-position model. The record is from RNAcentral.